Molecule: long non-coding RNA, 1538 nt
Organism: Dromiciops gliroides (monito del monte)
Lineage: Eukaryota; Metazoa; Chordata; Mammalia; Microbiotheria; Microbiotheriidae
Exons: 3
Source: RefSeq, a predicted model, not a curated record
GAUGGGACAGGCGCCCCAGCCAGAGGCAGCCUCCCGGCCUGGCCUCCCUUCCUCCCUCCUUCCAUCCCCGUGCCGCUGACAGCCUCCAGCCCCGGCUUCUUGCUCCCGAUAAGGUAACCAAGGCCCAGAGAGAGUGACUUACCCAAGGUCAUAUAGGUCAUAAGUGGCUGAACUGAGAUUUGAACCCAAGCCCAGUGAUGUCCUUGAUGCUGUGCUACAUUGACUCUCCAUGUACACACAUGCAAUAUAUAUGCCAAGUUGUACUAGCAGGGCCUAUCGAGUUGGAAAGACUUGGAGCAUGGACCCACCAGUAGACCAUGUGUCUGUCAUCCCAGGACCGGCCUUGCUAUGUUCAGAGAGCCUCAUGACCAGGUGGAAUCACUCUCUGCUUUGGUAGAGGACAUGCCGAUACUGACCAAGUCACAGAUACUCGAUGUCUUGUAGUUCAUUUAUUGCUUCUUAAUAAGAAUUUUACUGAUUGUUUUUGCUUUUCAAUAACCCAGACUCUCCCCCACCCCCCGUGUCCCUCCUACCUUCUUCCCUGAGAUCCAUCUCCUUAUGGCAAAGAUUUUUUUUUUAAAUGGAAGAGAAAGAAAUUUGCAAAACUGUUCGACAUAUUGAAAAAACCCAACAUUUAUCUGUACUGCUCUGCACCUGUAGAGUCCCACCUCUUAAUUUUUCUUUGGGACUGAGUUGAUUCCUUACACUUUUUGUGGUGUACUCAUUAUUAAUGAUUAGGAUUUGCGUGUACCAGGGAACUUAGGUCUGGCCUCAGUGGUGUGCGUGCUGGAGAGAACCCUGACCAGGCAGGCCCCAAAUCUGGACUCUGCUCCCCACUCUGCAAUUCACUGUGUGACCCUGGACAAGUCACUUCCCCCGCGUACCCUUAUCGUCUUGCGAUGUGAAAUGAGGGGGAUGGCCUCAGUGAACCCAGAGGUUCUUUCCAGCCUUCACCCUGUAUGAUUAUGUGACUCCUUACAUCUGUAUUUAUAACUGUUAAUGUUAACAGCAGGUUUCAUGUCUGUCAUUAGCCAGAGGGGUUGGCUAACGUUCAAGAGUCAAUGUAAAUGCAAAUGGAAGAAAAUCUUUCUCCUUUCAAGUGUGAGGAGGCGUUGAAUCCAAAGAGUCAAAAAUACAAGCACAAGGGGCAGCUAGAUGGCACAGUGGAUAGAGCACCGGCCCUGGAGUCAGGAGUACCUGAGUUCAAAUCCGGCCUCAGACACUUAACACUUACUAGCUGUGUGACCCUAGGCAAGUCACUUAACCCCAAUUGCCUCACUAAAAAAAAAUACAAGCACAAAGUUGGAGAUGGGCUCACGGCUCAAGCUGGGAGGACUUGAGAGCAGGAAGGAGCCUUCGAAGCUUCUGGUCGUGGGGCUUCUUCACAUUUUUGUGGGUGUCCCGGAUGUCUCCAGCAGAACCCUUCUCAGGAUUCUGUUUUUAAAUUCAGAAACUAAAAGACAAACAGUUACAAAGAAAACCAAUCCCACUGAAAAAAGAUGGAAUGAUUUUCCCAUCCAGGUUCAAGGACCCCCUCG